UGUGUUAGUGCGGAUGGUGUUA
This 22-nucleotide microRNA is filed under the name Bos taurus (domestic cattle). RNAcentral's name for it is "bta-miR-2414". The record is from miRBase by way of RNAcentral. Lineage: Eukaryota; Metazoa; Chordata; Mammalia; Artiodactyla; Bovidae.